Long non-coding RNA from Neopelma chrysocephalum (saffron-crested tyrant-manakin), 346 nucleotides. RefSeq lists it as uncharacterized. The transcript has 3 exons. The record is from RefSeq and is a predicted model, not a curated record. NCBI's taxonomy places the organism in Eukaryota, Metazoa, Chordata, Aves, Passeriformes, Pipridae.
CAUCCAAGUUCUCAGCUGUCCAUUCUACAAAAUCUGGCAUAAAUAGUCUGUGGAGGGACCCAGGAUCUGCAGAGCAGAAUUCAGCAUCUCACCGUACUUGCUGGUGGCUGCACAAAGACUGAAUCACUUCUCAGGGUCAUGUUUUUUUGGCUCAACAAGUUGACUUGGGUCAACAAAGGCUGUGAAGACCAAGGGAAGAAGUAGGACAGCACAGCCAGGCAAGAGGGAUGGCAAACACAGCAUUGUCUCCUUUUAUGAAGGGAUCCCUUUCUGGCUCUGUGACGCAAUACACACCGAUUUCACAAUGGAGGGAAUUCCCCACUCUGUGCUCAGGAGCCUGUGGCUG